GUGCCAGCCGCCGCGGUAACACGAACCGUACGAACGUUAUUCGGAAUCACUGGGCUUAAAGGGUGCGUAGGCGGCCUGGUAAGUUGGGUGUGAAAUCCCUCGGCUCAACCGAGGAAUUGCGCUCAAAACUGCCAGGCUCGAGGGAGACAGAGGUGAGCGGAACUUAGGGUGGAGCGGUGAAAUGCGUUGAUAUCCUAAGGAACACCAGUGGCGAAAGCGGCUCACUGGGUCUCUUCUGACGCUGAGGCACGAAAGCUAGGGGAGCGAAGAGGAUUAGAUACCCUCGUAGUCCUAGCUGUAAACGAUGAGCACUGGAUCGAAGGACACUCCAUAGUCUUUUGGUCGUAGCGAAAGUGUUAAGUGCUCCGCCUGGGGAGUAUGGUCGCAAGGCUGAA
Molecule: ribosomal RNA, 395 nt
Filed under: uncultured bacterium
Lineage: Bacteria
Description: bacterial SSU rRNA
Rfam family: Bacterial small subunit ribosomal RNA
Source: RNAcentral